This 118-nucleotide ribosomal RNA is filed under the name Triticum aestivum (bread wheat). Lineage: Eukaryota; Viridiplantae; Streptophyta; Magnoliopsida; Poales; Poaceae. The record is from RNAcentral.
GGAUGCGAUCAUACCAGCACUAAUGCACUGGAUCCCAUCAGAACUCCGAAGUUAAGCGUGCUUAGCGAGAGUAGUACUAGGAUGGGUGACCUCCUGGGAAGUCCUCGUGUUGCAUUCC